RNAcentral lists this ribosomal RNA (253 nucleotides) under uncultured bacterium. RNAcentral's name for it is "partial 16S ribosomal RNA". It matches the Rfam family "Bacterial small subunit ribosomal RNA", at positions 524 to 776 of the family's 1533-position model. The record is from RNAcentral.
UACGAAGGGUGCAAACGUUGCUCGGAAUCAUUGGGCGUAAAGAGCGUGUAGGCGGCCAGAUAAGUCCGCUGUGAAAUCUCGAGGCUCAACUUCGAGCUGUCGGUGGAAACUGUCUGGCUAGAGUCCGGAAGAGGAGAAUGGAAUUCCUGGUGUAGCGGUGAAAUGCGCAGAUAUCAGGAAGAACACCCGUGGCGAAGGCGGUUCUCUGGGACGGUACUGACGCUGAGACGCGAAAGCGUGGGGAGCGAACAGG